RNAcentral lists this ribosomal RNA (572 nucleotides) under uncultured bacterium. RNAcentral's name for it is "partial 16S ribosomal RNA". It matches the Rfam family "Bacterial small subunit ribosomal RNA", at positions 356 to 919 of the family's 1533-position model. The record is from RNAcentral.
UGGGGAAUUUGGACAAUGGGCGAAAGCCUGAUCCAGCAAUGCCGCGUGUGUGAAGAAGGCCUUCGGGUUGUAAAGCACUUUUGUCCGGAAAGAAAUCCUUGGCUCUAAUACAGUCGGGGAUGACGGUACCGGAAGAAUAAGCACCGGCUAACUACGUGCCAGCAGCCGCGGUAAUACGUAGGGUGCAAGCGUUAAUCGGAAUUACUGGGCGUAAAGCGUGCGCAGGCGGUUUGCUAAGACCGAUGUGAAAUCCCCGGGCUCAACCUGGGAACUGCAUUGGUGACUGGCAGGCUAGAGUAUGGCAGAGGGGGGUAGAAUUCCACGUGUAGCAGUGAAAUGCGUAGAGAUGUGGAGGAAUACCGAUGGCGAAGGCAGCCCCCUGGGCCAAUACUGACGCUCAUGCACGAAAGCGUGGGGAGCAAAACAGGAUUAGAUACCCUGGUAGUCCCACGCCCUAAAACGAUGUCAACUAGUUGUUGGGGAUUCAUUUCCUUAGUAACGUAGCUAACGCGUGAAGUUGACCGCCUGGGGAGUACGGUCGCAAGAUUAAAACUUAAAUGAAUUGACGGGGU